AAAUUCAGUUUUUUCGUCCCUCGCGAAGAAACAUAAACAGUAUUUGUGAAAUUUGGAUUAGAAACUAUUAUUUUAUUAGUUUAUUUUGUUGUGUUUAAGUGUUGUGUAUUUGUACCUACUGGAUAAUAUUUUCCAACAUAUUUAAUUAAGCAAAAAGCAUCUGUUUUACAGGUGUGACUGCUAAGUGGUCGUACUCGCCACUUUAACCAAGCAUUGGUGGGACCUUCAGAGAUCAUAAUGCGAAUUUCUUCAUACCAUGUAAAUCUAUAUACAUGUAUUAAUAAAUGCGUUUGCUUUA
Sitophilus oryzae (rice weevil) is the source of this 298-nucleotide long non-coding RNA. RefSeq lists it as uncharacterized. NCBI's taxonomy places the organism in Eukaryota, Metazoa, Arthropoda, Insecta, Coleoptera, Curculionidae. The record is from RefSeq and is a predicted model, not a curated record. The transcript is spliced from 2 exons.